UCCGAAGCGAUUCUGACGUGCAAAUCGAUUGUCUGACUUUGGUACAGCGGCGAAAGACUGAUCGAACAAUCUAGUAGCUGAUUCCCUCUGAAGUUUCCCUCAGGAUAGAUGGAGUACGUUAUGAAACUGCUACAUUCGGUAAAGCGAAUGAUUAAAGGAAUUGUGGGACGAAACGUCUUCAACCGUGGAUGACUCGCUUGCUCGAAUGAAGCGUGGACAUUGAAUAUGUGCUCUACAUAGGCCAUUUUGGUAAGCAGAACUGGGGUGCUGUGGACGGACAAAAGUUGAGUUAAAGUCUUUUCAGAAAAUAUCAAAAGAUUUUAACGUUUAGAAAUUAAACGCGAAUAAAUUUGUCAAACCUUUUGAAUUGUGAUUCCUUGUGAACGUGUCUUAAAUCCA
This is a non-coding RNA of Onchocerca ochengi, 399 nucleotides long. NCBI's taxonomy places the organism in Eukaryota, Metazoa, Nematoda, Chromadorea, Rhabditida, Onchocercidae. The record is from Rfam.